GAGGGUAUAGCUCAAGUGGUAGACCACAUGCUUAGCAUGCACGAGGUCCUGGGUUCAAUCCCCUGUACCUCCU
This 73-nucleotide transfer RNA is filed under the name Camelus bactrianus (Bactrian camel). It matches the Rfam family "tRNA". Rfam says of the family: Transfer RNA (tRNA) molecules are approximately 80 nucleotides in length. Their secondary structure includes four short double-helical elements and three loops (D, anti-codon, and T loops). The record is from Rfam by way of RNAcentral. RNAcentral also lists the same sequence under 2 other names. Lineage: Eukaryota; Metazoa; Chordata; Mammalia; Artiodactyla; Camelidae.